Grus americana (Whooping crane) is the source of this 6156-nucleotide long non-coding RNA. RefSeq lists it as uncharacterized. The transcript has 13 exons. NCBI's taxonomy places the organism in Eukaryota, Metazoa, Chordata, Aves, Gruiformes, Gruidae. The record is from RefSeq and is a predicted model, not a curated record.
UCUACUGCUGGAGACGCCUGGCUGGUGCAGCAUUUACAGCUAUUGAGUGGAGAAGGUUUUUAAUAAUUAGGUUGCAGAUGGGAUUAGAAAUUAGACUGGAAGGCAAUAUUUCUUGAUAUAUGCAGGAGCGUCCGUCUGAGUGGGGCUUUGUUUCCAGCCCCAGAGAGCCAGCCGGCUGGGCUCGCUUGCCCUUACACCAGUGCUGCCAAGACCCUCACUGCAGGAGGGUGAUGGGGGAUCAUUCUCCCACCAAACAAAGUGCUGCUGCUGCAUGGCUACCUGCCUCCCUGAGGAUGCCGGCAUCUGCUCACCAUCGGCUUCAGCUGGGCUCCUUCUUUGCCACGAGUGCCAGGUAGCUCCAAAGGCAGGGGGGGACACAAGAUGCUGAUCCUGUGAGUGCUUUAGUGGGUGCUUUGUCUUGCCCAGGAGCACAUGGAACUGUUUGGGAGCUCUGGCUCCUGGUCUUCCCACUGUUGGGGUGCCUGGAGUCACCCUGCUUCCCUGCUCCUUGUUUGGUAAGAAAAUAAAUGACCAGAGCCUAAUGCUGGAGCUUGCUGGUCUCACCAAGGUUGCAGUUGGAGGUGCUAAGCAAGCUGGGAGGUGGACCAGGGCUGACAAGCAGCAUCAUGUAGAGCACCUGGUGGCAGCCAAGAGAUGAACCUCUUGGUCACCUCAUGGUGGCCUUUGCAGGCCAGGAGGACUUGAUUUGGGCAGUGUCCUGCUGUCUCUCCUCUGGUCUCAGCUGGCCCAUUGGCCUUGGAGGGUUUUACAAAACAGACCCCGUGGGGCAGGAGGUAAUCCAGCAGCCACUGGUUAUGCUUGCCCCAUCCCUUUGGCUGUCUCGUGUCGUCAUGGCCAAACCUCUAGUACAGACAGUAGAGUAUUUUGGUGGGUUUGGGGCUGGGGGACUGGGCCUUUGGUGGGCUUUCAGUUAGUGAAGCUUUGCACAGCUGAAAUGUCUGAUUGGUCCCAAUUUUCCAUCAAAAGUAAGGUGCAAAAACCUGGAAUUAUGCCUCCAGGGUUGUGUCCCUGCCAAAACCUUGUGCCCUCAUAGUGCAGCCCAGUCAAAGAAAAUACUCAAGCAGCUGUUUUAGACACUGGCUUUGACUCCCUGCAUCUGAAACAGCAGAGCUGCUUGCCCAUCCUUGUGGCCAGCAUCUGAACUUCAACCAUCCUGCUGCCUUUGCCAUCUUCCGACGCAGGCUUUUAUUUCAUUUUCCCUGAGCUGUUGGUAAUUUUGGUUUCAGCAGUGUCCUGGACCCUCCAUGCCUGCUGGGGAUGGGCAUGUCCAAGCUGCAGUGACCUCCAGGCAUGGUGAGCUGCGUGGUGGAGGUGCUGGGGUGAAACCGCCAUCACUUUCCCUUUGGGAGGUGAGGAUCAGCCCCGCUGCCUCUGAGCCAGAGGUCCUGGGCUUUGCUGGGGCGCUCUCUCUGGCUCUGCCAUGGCUUUGUCCAGCUCUGCUCACUUCUGUGCCUUUCCCAUCUGCUGUGGGAUUCAGUCCCACCUCCCUUGCCUGCUCCAGAUGCCUAGCUCUUCCCCUUCCCCCUCCCAAAUCCCUUCUCAACAGGAGAAAGCUGCCUCAUUGCUCCCAGCUCAUUCCCAUGCAAAUGACACAUUAGGGGAUGUAAUGAACUUUGGUUGUUCUUUAUAACCUUUUGUUUUGAGGUUGAAAGGUUAAUGGUGUGAGGGGGACUUGCCUCCCCAGUGGGGUGGAAGCCAUCCAGGCUGGCACAGUGAACAGCGGGCAGAGGUGCCACUGAUGGCUUUGCCCUGGGAGGGAUUUCUCCACAGCUUUGCUGUGUGGGGUGACCCUGCACCCCACCCCUUGUGUGGGGACUCCUGAGGACAGCCCAGGGACGUGCAGGAGCUGGUCAUGAAGAGGACCCUCUCCAAGAUAUUCCAGCAAGGGAUGGACUUGGCCUGAAUGAUUCUGCUCACGCAAAAUGAGUUUCCCAGGCCUGGGGGAGCCUCCAUCCGUCAGCCGUCCUGUGCCUUUUUAAGCACAAACGGGAACAAUAUCAAGGAAUGGGGAGAAGAAAGAAUGGUCCUUGCAAGAGAGGCCAUAUCAGAGCUGUCUUUCUGUUCAUCUGUUUAAGACCCUUUUUUGCCAUCCUUGCCUCUCUGGUGCCCGGUGCUCCGUUCCUGAAAGUCUCGCAGAAGCAGCGAGAGUCUGUGGAGAACGCGGUGACGAGAAGGCACCAAGGCCACCAGCCUGCAGAACAGUUACACCGGGUAGCACUGGAGGCUUUCCUAAGUAUGAAACAGAGUAUGUCUGUGGAGGGAAAAUUUUAUCUCAGACCUGCUUGAUGAGAUUCACUUCAUCUGCCUCUGCCUGUAUGAAAACAUAGAUGAUGUCACGGUGGGAUCGAGGAGUCAAGAUCACAUCAGGAGUCAGCAAUGCAUGAUCUAAUGGAGAAGGCUGCUCCGAAACCAGAGUGAAUAACAAAAGGAAUAGUGAGGUGUAUUUUAAGAGAGCCAUUGGCCAAGAAAGCCAUCUUCUCUUUCCACACCACUGCUCCAGCCCUUUGUGGUGGUCACUAUCGAAAGCAGGUUUUGGAAGCAUGGAGUGCUGAUGAGCUUGGUCCUCCUCUCCCCAUCUCUUCUCCAUCAGGCGAUGUAGGUACAGAUCAAGAAGUGCACGGAAGUACUGAAGUACAAUCCCUGUCUCACCAGUUUUACGGACUGAGAGUACUGUAAAAUGGGGUAGAGCCAGGACUGAACAUUUCCUCCCCAGUACCACGUGGCUCUGGACUUCAGGGAUGCAAGCUGCUUGGAAAGUGGGAGAAAUGCACAGCACAUUCUAGGAAAUACAUGAAGAAAUCAUUCUGGAGAAGGGAUUAAUGUGAUGCUAUAGAAGUUUGGAUUCAGCUCUCUACCAGAUGCUGAGUCAUAAAGAGAGAGAAGGAUGUUUCAGAGCGUACACUCAGGGAAAAGAGUCAGUCACCAUUGCUGUGUGGGGUUGCUGAACCUACAUUCCUGAAGGAAGAAAGAUGCAAAAGUCAGGAGUGAAAGAGAAGCAGUCUGUCUUGAGCAAGAGGAUGAAGAAGGUGCUGGUUUGGAGGAAGCCCUACAGGACCUCGAAGUGGGGCUGGACCCACCUGGUCCUUGGCUGUGGGGUUGAGCCUGAAGGCCAGUUGGCUGGAGGAUGCCGAGUUCCCCUUGCAGCUUGACAGCUAAGUGCCUCAGAGACCCCCAAAGUGGGACCACAGGACAGAGAGGAAUUUUUUGGCUGAAUUCCUCUGUAAGUGUUUUUGGACUGUCUCUGUUAUGAUGGUGUGUCCAUCAGAUCAGGGCAUGGAUAGAGGAUUGCUGUUUGAUAAUCCGCACAUGUGAAGAGAUCAGAAACUUAGUGGUGAACAAGCAAGAAGUCAAGGAAGAAGACUGAAGUAGAGGAUAUGGAGGCCUGCCCACUGCACAUGAUCCUGGAUGGGAGCCUGACUUAUCAUCAUUCCAAAUUUGCAUUGGUUUCAUUGCAUUUUCAAUAUGGAACAAAGCUUGGGAAAAAAAAGGCCAAGUGAAACAUGAAAGUCCACUGGGAAACAUAGCCAAUUAAAGCAAUUAAAAGAGGAUGUAGAAUUCUUAAUUCUUACGCUUGGCUAGAAGGAUGAUUGACUGGGCUUGACUCUCCUGGAGGUGGAGAGAUGGAUUCAUGGUAGUGAUCAGACUGCUGGAAAAAACAGUGCAGAGGCAGGGCAGGAAAAACUUCUGCUGAAAUAGCCAACAUCGCGGCUUCUGAUUCUGCAUAACACUGCAGCCACGGACCUCUGCCAGGGAUCAGCCACAGCAGCAAGAGCACAAAUAACCCUCAGCGUGGGAGCAUUUCAGGUGAAUGGGCUUUGCUAUUCUGUGAAUAAUUACCCUCAUGUAGGCAGCAUCUUUGACUGGGUCUUGAGCGACAGCAGUGUGAAAAGGGCAUUUGACUUUGAUUCAUCUGGGAACCGGGCACGUACAGGAGCACGGGAGAGAUAUUUUCCCUGCACAUCAAGUCCAAGGAAGUACAUUUUAUUGUAUUCACUAUAUUUGGUGUGAUUUGCUGCACUCGGAUAUUCAGUUGCAAUUAGGUGGUUAGAGACUUAUCAUUAAUCUUCGGCUCUGUGCUGCCUAUCAAUCUGUUCCCUCACAUAGCUUAUGGCAUUAUUCUGAACAUUUUGAUUAGGAAAUAUCCCUGCCUUGGAGCUGUUGCUGGUGGUAGGAUUUCUGUGUGCAUCUCCUGUCAAUAUCUAAAUUUGUUCUAUUCAAGGCUCUUUAGAGCACUUGUCUCUCGAAUGACAAUUAUAUGUCUCUUGUCUGAUUCAGAGAGAUCUCAAAACCCUGCUGAAUUGGUGCCCUGACAUUAGACCACCAAGAAAUUGCUUCUUCCUUUAUACCUGAGCAUAUUCCUUGAUGAACUUUCUGAUUUUUUUUUCUCUCAUUAAGAUUUCUUAGGAUUUUCAGAUUCAGCUAAGUUAUCUCCUUCUGCUUUUUUCCUUCCUAAAAAGGCUCACAUUCUUGUUGCCCUUAUUAUAUUUAAAAUGCUUUGAAUUUGAUUCUGCAUUCACUGGUCUUCCUGCUUUUCAGUUCACUCUUGCAUAAUUAAUAAGAGAAAAUCAGGGGACAUUGAAGUGUACUUGUGAUGGGGAAAGAAUUUGUUAGAAAAGCCGCUGUGGGGAUGGCAAUGGGGAACCUCUACUCUUCAGGGAGCUCUCUUCCAGGUCAGGAGACUUAAAGGCAGCUCUUAAUUCUCAAUGCUUUUAACUGAUGAGAGUGGUCAAUAAGCGGAUGGACUUCUCCUGACCUGCAUCCUUCUCUCUGGAAGCUUUAAUCUUGUUUAUCCCUGGUCUGAUAUGGGCAUAUGGUUCAUUGUUGAUCUCUCCUACCAGGGAAGAAGACCUCAAUACAUCACAGGUAAAGCUGAUCUUUAUCCAUGCAGCGCUCAGCUGCCCUGAAGAAAUGAACCUCUACAGAUCUAUGGGGAAAGUUUUAGACAAAUCUAAUCAACCGCGUUGCAUUCUAUAUCACAGAUGACAUUCCCUUUGAAAUCCUCAGGAUGGUUUCAGGUAGCUAUGAACUUAAGGAUUGUUUUCAAGUACUAGUAAGAAUAGAUUCGUCCAAGAUAGGAACUAUAAACCAACCCUUUUCUAUACCAUGCUGAAGGUCACCAUGAAAGACAAUGGGAAGUGAAUGGGAUCCACUUUCAAUCUUCCAAGAUUAAAGGCCUUCCUUUAAUAAUAAUAAUAAUAAAGAAAAAAAUAAAGGCAAGAAAAUAAAGCUGUUAUUCAACCAGAGUAUUGGACGUGCUGAAGAAUGUGAUGUGAAUGGAGGUAUGAAGAGAUCAGACUUGACAAUCAUAGUAUUUUUGAAAUCUGUGGAUCUACCUCUUCAGUUAUACUCUCCUGCUGAUGAAAAAGUGUUGAAUAAAGCUAUAAAGCUGGGCAUUUUGUGGAGUUUAACAUAAAAUGAGCAUUAGCUCCUGUGAGGUUUUCUUUCCCUGGGAGUAUCUCUGGUACACCUCUUAAGCUUGCUUGAAGUUCAAACUUUUUACUUCUCUGUUUAAACAAAUGUGGAUUGUGCUCUAUUAUGUUUGUCACAGAUAGAGGAAGGCAAACUGAGCUGAGUUUUGGAUAUUUUUCCUCUGCUUCUUUGAAGAGAUAGUGUGUCAGAUUGAUUCUAAUUUUCCCCUAUAUAUUAAGGUUGCAAAAUGUCCAUUUUAAUAGGCUCCAAUCACCUGCACAAAACCCUGCCCGAACUGUUAACCAACAAACUAAAUCCUGUGGACACCUACAGUCUAAGACAUAAUUAAAAAAAAAUAAAGAAAGAAAAUAAAGAAAGAAAAUAAAGAAAGAAAUGUGUCAGACAAGAAGAGAACAACACAAAACCAGCUAUUAAUCCUUGUGCCUCCAAAAUUGUCAUGAGAAGAAAAGAGUUUUAGGAAAGGAUCAGAGACUCCUCACUGUCUAAAGUCCCUGCUGUGCUUUACUUUCCACUGCUGGAUACAGAGAAGCAAAUCCAAAUAAUUCACUGCAUAUCUUGACUUGUUUUUAUUUACAUUUGGCAUCAGGAUGCAGCUGUACUGACUCUUCCCGAUUAAGACAAAGUCAUCUUCAUCAUUCCAUGUUUAAAUAAUCCUUGUGUUUUCAGUCUCUUGUAGUAUACAUCCUACUAGACCAUUAAACUAUC